This 77-nucleotide transfer RNA is filed under the name Richelia sp. RM2_1_2. RNAcentral describes it as "tRNA-Ile". It matches the Rfam family "tRNA". Rfam says of the family: Transfer RNA (tRNA) molecules are approximately 80 nucleotides in length. Their secondary structure includes four short double-helical elements and three loops (D, anti-codon, and T loops). The record is from RNAcentral. Lineage: Bacteria; Bacillati; Cyanobacteriota; Cyanophyceae; Nostocales; Nostocaceae.
AGUUCCAUAGCUCAGCUGGUAGUAGCGCGAUCCUGAUAAGAUCGAGGUCGUUGGUUCGAAUCCAACUGGAACUACCA